GGAGGAGGAGGAGAAAAAAUGCAGGGGUUAGAGGGGAGGGUCAGGUUGCCUUUAGCUGAGUUCAUUCUCCUUAUUUUUCCUCCUUUGAAUCGUCUUGUUUCAGUUCCCCCUCUUCUCUCUUUACUUGGGUUGCAUGAGUUCGGACAGAGAGCCGAACUGGAAGACCUUGGACUGGUAAACACCAAAAGGACAAAAGUUUGAUCCUGUGUUUUUCUUUUUCUUUCUUUUUUUGUUUUUUUCAUAUUUUCUUUUUCUACAAAAAAUCUGCAAUGUUCUGUUGCUACGGUUGAAGCUCCCCCAAAACACACAGAAUCAUCCUGAGGUAUUUUAUUUGAUUAAAUUUGGCUUUGUGAGUCCAAUCAAAC
RNAcentral lists this long non-coding RNA (365 nucleotides) under Scophthalmus maximus (turbot). Its description in RNAcentral is "lncRNA (ENSSMAG00000023984.1)". The record is from RNAcentral. Lineage: Eukaryota; Metazoa; Chordata; Actinopteri; Pleuronectiformes; Scophthalmidae.